CAGUAGCCGCGGGAAUACAGAGGGUGCGAGCGUUAAUCGGAUUUACUGGGCGUAAAGCGUGCGUAGGCGGCUUUUUAAGUCGGAUGUGAAAUCCCUGAGCUUAACUUAGGAAUUGCAUUCGAUACUGGGAAGCUAGAGUAUGGGAGAGGAUGGUAGAAUUCCAGGUGUAGCGGUGAAAUGCGUAGAGAUCUGGAGGAAUACCGAUGGCGAAGGCAGCCAUCUGGCCUAAUACUGACGCUGAGGUACGAAAGCAUGGGGAGCAAACAGGAUUAGAUACCCCAGUAGUCCAUGUCUCUUAUAC
RNAcentral lists this ribosomal RNA (301 nucleotides) under uncultured bacterium. RNAcentral's name for it is "partial 16S ribosomal RNA". It matches the Rfam family "Bacterial small subunit ribosomal RNA", at positions 509 to 807 of the family's 1533-position model. The record is from RNAcentral.